GACGAACGCUGGCGGCGUGCUUAACACAUGCAAGUCGAACGGAAAGGCCUGCUUUCCCUUGUGGAUUGCGGGUACUCGAGUGGCGAACGGGCGAGUAACACGUGAGUGAUCUGCCCCCAACUUGGGUAUAAGCCUGGGAAACUGGGUCUAAUUCCCGAUAGGACUGCAGGGUGGUGCCUGUGGUGGAAAACGAUUUUCUAGUGGUUGGGGAUGAGCUCGCGGCCUAUCAGCUUGUUGGUGGGGUAAUGGCCUACCAAGGCGGCGACGGGUAGCCGGCCUGGGAGGGUGGACGGCCACAUUGGGACUGAGAUACGGCCCAGACUCCUACGGGAGGCAGCAGUGGGGAAUAUGGCACAAUGGGCGGAAGCCUGAUGCAGCGACGCCGCGUGGGGGAUGACGGCCUUCGGGUUGUAAACUCCUUUCGACCGCGAGGAAGCCACCUGGUUGGAAGGGUGGUGACGGUAGUGGUAGAAGAAGCACCGGCUAACUACGUG
Molecule: ribosomal RNA, 494 nt
Filed under: uncultured bacterium
Lineage: Bacteria
Description: partial 16S ribosomal RNA
Rfam family: Bacterial small subunit ribosomal RNA
Source: RNAcentral